This 323-nucleotide ribosomal RNA is filed under the name uncultured eukaryote. Its description in RNAcentral is "partial 18S ribosomal RNA". It matches the Rfam family "Eukaryotic small subunit ribosomal RNA", at positions 1470 to 1796 of the family's 1831-position model. The record is from RNAcentral.
CCCUUAGAUGUUCUGGGCCGCACGCGUGCUACACUGAACGGUUCAAUGGGUAAGGUAGUGCGAAAGCAUGACCUAAUCUCGAAAUCCGUUCGUGCUGGGGAUAGAAGCUUGCAAUUAUCCUUCUUGAACGAGGAAUACCUUGUAAGCGUGAGUCAUCAUCUCACGCUGAAUACGUCCCUGCCCUUUGUACACACCGCCCGUCGCUCCUACCGAUUGAGUGUUCCGGUGAGGCUUUGGGAGAAUGGCCUCAACAUGAGUUUAUCGUGCUUUGCCGUUUGAACUUAGUCAAACCUUAUCACUUAGAGGAAGGAGAAGUCGUAACA